Oncorhynchus tshawytscha (Chinook salmon) is the source of this 2220-nucleotide long non-coding RNA. The record is from Ensembl. NCBI's taxonomy places the organism in Eukaryota, Metazoa, Chordata, Actinopteri, Salmoniformes, Salmonidae.
CUUUUAUUGUGCUCGUAACCCUCAGAAUUACGAGUAAUACUUUGGCGUGAUGUCACUCAGGAAGUUGAACCACCCGUUUGUCACAAUGUCACUUCCUGUGCUGCCUGAAGGUGACCCUGAAGGUGCCUUACUAUGUAUGAGCAAGCUUCACCGAGCAAUAUUCUGGAAAAGACCUGAAGACCGCAUCUCCAACCUCAGGAACAGUUGCUGGAAGGAGACGAAACAGACAUGAGUCCUGCAACUCUAUGAUGGCGCUGGAAGAGAUGGCUUCCGUUUUACAGGCACCUAACCAAUUGUGAGGAAGGCUUGCUGUACCUUGCUCAUCAUUUCGGAGACUGACUUGUACCAAAGGGCUCAGCAGAUGGGAACGCCUACGACUGUCAGAGAUUCAGAUCACGAUACAGGGAUAAGAACCCACAAACAUACAGAAGGGUACGUUGUAAUGGUGGGCACCAAUAUCUAAAAUUCCCACAGACAUACACGCAUAUAAAUUAAUGCUACACACAAAUCACAAUUGCUGCUGCCAGACUCUUAUUAUGAUUGCUAAAUACUGCACAAUUUAAACACUUGCCCCCAAAUCCCCACCUUCCCCAAAACACAUGUAAAUAUUGGACUAUAAAUUGCACCUUACUGUAUUAUUCUUAUGCUAAAAUGUUUAUUAUAUUCUACUGAGCCAUUUACUUCAUGUUCCUAUUCUUAUCUUUUAUUAUUUCUUAUUGUUGUUGCAUUGUCCAGAAAGAAGAUGCAAGUAAGCAUUUCAUUGGCUGGUGUAUACCAUGUGUAUCCUGUAGAACUUGAAAAUAAAACUUGAAAAAUAUAUCAGUAUCGCUUGAUACUGUUUUGACCUCAAUAUUCUUUGAUUUAGGUUUGAUAUCGAUAUGAUCAAGACAUAUCACGCUAUUGGUUUAUCCUUCCUGUUAACCUAUGCUAUUAUGUAAAAAAAAAGCAUAAAUGACUGUUCCUGCAUGCACAAAAUCCUUUCGCAGAUGUUCACAUGCUCUCAACUUAAUAUACUUAACGUGAGCAUUUGUCUCCAAUAAAAAAAAUGCUUGGACAUGUGGUGCGGCAGGUAGCCUAGUGGAUAGUGUUGGGCCAGUAACCGAAAGGUCGCUGGUUAGAAUACCCAAGCUGACAAGGUGAAGUCUGUCUGUGCCCUUGAGCAAGGCUCCAGGGGCGCCGUACUACCAUGGCUGACUCUGUAAAACACAUUUUACUGCAUCUGUGACAAUACAUUUGUUUUUUUCUGGUUUCAGCAAUUUAGUUGAUUUGAUAAUGUGAAACCAACCGGACCAAAUGUAAAUGAAAUACUACAGCUCAGAACUGUGUGUGAAAUGCCCUUACUUGCCUGCUGAUAGAUCAUUGACAGAGGAUGGGUUUCCCAUUGCACUGUUACAAUAUUUUUUAUUAACCAAUGUGUUAUUAAAAAAAUGUAACUGAUAGAGGCCCAUGAUUAACAUUUUUGAUGUGUGCUUGCAUGACCUGCUGCCCAUCUGCUCUGAUUUGAACUUCAAUGGAAUAGGUUCUGUUGUUGGAGAUCCAUUUGAUGUUUUGAUUGCUCCAGAUUUAUUUUCCUCCUUGGAUUAUUUGUUACUUGAAUCGAAUGUGAAGAAAUCAAUAGAGAACGCUCUAUUCAAGCCAACACACACAAACUGGAGCAUAAGAUUUGAGCAGCAAUUAGAGAGAGAAAAUGCCUUGCAGACAUAUGGGCUGUGGGGGGACCCCCCCCUCUCUCUCUGCACACUCCUGCGGACAGACUUAACUUCCUGUAGAACUGUGAAACAAACUGACAAGGUGAUGGCUGGUUUAAAUACAAACACUAGUGUUUCUCUUUUUUUAAAGCCUUGAAAUGAAUUUUUGAAUAUACUUUUGAGAUACUGCUCUUUCCCAUAUUAUGCUUUGAUAAAUAUUUAGAAGAACCAACUCAAGGCCUUUAAGGAUAGACAUCUGAGCCAGUUUUUAUAACUUUUAUAGUUAGUACCUGUAUAUACCAUACAUUUUUAUUACAUGGGCUAGAUGGAAUUAUGUAGCUAAUGUAAUUAUAUAAUUGAAUGUACCCUGUGGAUUUGCUUGUAGCUUGGUGGAUUGCAAAUUUAUUGCACAAAUGAAUCUGUAUUUAUUCAAAUUAAACAAAUAUCAAAUGUUUCUUUAUAAUCACUAUAAUGACCUAGUGUGGUUUUAUUUUAUUACAGAGACAAAUAUUUGAUCCAUGAACAAAAUAUU